UACGUAGGGUCCAAGCGUUAUCCGGAAUCACUGGGCGUAAAGCGUGCGUAGGUGGCGUGUUAAGUGUGAUGUUAAAUCGUGGGGCUCAACCCUAUCAAUGCAUCGCAUACUGGCAUGCUAGAGGGAAGCAGAGGCAAGUGGAAUUUGUAGUGUAGCAGUGAAAUGCGUAGAUAUUACAAGGAACACCAAUGGCGAAGGCAGCUUGCUGGGCUUCUUCUGACACUGAGGUACGAAAGCGUGGGGAGCGAACAGG
This 253-nucleotide ribosomal RNA is filed under the name uncultured bacterium. RNAcentral describes it as "partial 16S ribosomal RNA". It matches the Rfam family "Bacterial small subunit ribosomal RNA", at positions 524 to 776 of the family's 1533-position model. The record is from RNAcentral.